This 225-nucleotide ribosomal RNA is filed under the name uncultured bacterium. Its description in RNAcentral is "partial 16S ribosomal RNA". It matches the Rfam family "Bacterial small subunit ribosomal RNA", at positions 14 to 230 of the family's 1533-position model. The record is from RNAcentral.
GAUUCCUGGCUCAGGAUGAACGCUAGCUACAGGCUUAACACAUGCAAGUCGAGGGGCAGCAUGGUCUUAGCUUGCUAAGACUGAUGGCGACCGGCGCACGGGUGAGUAACACGUAUCCAACCUGCCGUCUACUCUUGGACAGCCUUCUGAAAGGAAGACUAAUACAAGAUGGCAUCAUGAGUCCGCAUGUUCACAUGAUUAAAGGUAUUCCGGUAGACGAUGGGG